GAUGAACGCUGACAGAAUGCUUAACACAUGCAAGUCAACUUGAACUUCGGUUUGGGUGGCGGACGGGUGAGUAACGCGUAAAGAACUUGCCUCACAGAUAGGGACAACAUUUGGAAACGAAUGCUAAUACCUGAUAUUAUGAUUUUAGGGCAUCCUAGAAUUAUGAAAGCUAUAUGCACUGUGAGAGAGCUUUGCGUCCCAUUAGCUAGUUGGAGAGGUAACGGCUCACCAAGGCGAUGAUGGGUAGCCGGCCUGAGAGGGUGAUCGGCCACAAGGGGACUGAGACACGGCCCUUACUCCUACGGGAGGCAGCAGUGGGGAAUAUUGGACAAUGGACCAAGAGUCUGAUCCAGCAAUUCUGUGUGCACGAUGAAGUUUUUCGGAAUGUAAAGUGCUUUCAGUUGGGAAGAAAAAAAUGACGGUACCAACAGAAGAAGUGACGGCUAAAUACGUGCCAGCAGCCGCGGUAAUACGUAUGUCACAAGCGUUAUCCGGAUUUAUUGGGCGUAAAGCGCGUCUAGGUGGUUAUAUAAGUCUGAUGUGAAAAUGCAGGGCUCAACUCUGUAUUGCGUUGGAAACUGUGUAACUAGAGUACUGGAGAGGUAAGCGGAACUACAAGUGUAGAGGUGAAAUUCGUAGAUAUUUGUAGGAAUGUCGAUGGGGAAGCCAGCUUACUGGACAGAUACUGACGCUGAAGCGCGAAAGCGUGGGUAGCAAACAGG
Molecule: ribosomal RNA, 722 nt
Filed under: uncultured Fusobacterium sp.
Lineage: Bacteria; Fusobacteriati; Fusobacteriota; Fusobacteriia; Fusobacteriales; Fusobacteriaceae
Description: bacterial SSU rRNA
Rfam family: Bacterial small subunit ribosomal RNA
Source: RNAcentral